Molecule: ribosomal RNA, 448 nt
Filed under: uncultured Pelagibacterales bacterium
Lineage: Bacteria; Pseudomonadati; Pseudomonadota; Alphaproteobacteria; Candidatus Pelagibacterales
Description: bacterial SSU rRNA
Rfam family: Bacterial small subunit ribosomal RNA
Source: RNAcentral
GAGAUGUCGGGUAGUCCGCACGAGCGCACCUCACUUUUAUUUGCCAUCAUUAAGUUGGGCACUCUGAAAGAACUGCCAGUGAUAAGCUGGAGGAAAGUGGGGAUGACGUCAAGUCCUCAUGGCCCUUACGUGUUGGGCUACACACGUGCUACAAUGGCAUCUACAACAGGAAGCAAAACGGCAACGUUAAGCAAAUCCCGAAAAGAUGCCUCAGUUCGGAUUGCACUCUGCAACUCGAGUGCAUGAAGCUGGAAUUACUAGUAAUCGUGGAUCANCGUGCCACGGUGAAUGCGUUCCCGGGUCUUGUACACACCGCCCGUCACACCAUGGGAGUUGGUUCUACCUUAAGGCAAGGUUUUAAACCCUUGACCACGGUAUAGUCAGCGACUGGGGUGAAGUCGUAACAAGGUAGCCGUACGGGAACCUGCGGCUGGAUUACCUCCUUUCU